This is a long non-coding RNA of Humulus lupulus (European hop), 697 nucleotides long. RefSeq lists it as uncharacterized. The transcript is spliced from 4 exons. The record is from RefSeq and is a predicted model, not a curated record. NCBI's taxonomy places the organism in Eukaryota, Viridiplantae, Streptophyta, Magnoliopsida, Rosales, Cannabaceae.
CAUUUUUUUUUUUUUUUUUUUAACUUUGAUUUUGAUAUUUGGUGUUUUGGUUUGUUAAGUAAAACUUGUAUUGAUUUUUGUUUUGGUGUUUGGGUAUAAAUCUUGGUUUCUCUCCUCUCUCACACCUCUCUGCUGAUCUGGUUAUUCGGUCUCCGGUUUCGCACUCAGAUAUAGAAAGUUAUGAGCUGCUAAGUUUGGGUUUGUGAUUAUAUCUCAGCUUCAGAUGUCAGAAGCUAUAUUCAUAAUAUACUUGUCCUCCUUGCAAUUCACGAUGUUGUUCUCUGCACUGCUACAAGCCUAGGCCUGCACACUCUUGCAUUGGCUGUGGCUCAUAUACACAUUACAGAAUUUUUUUGAGGAGCAGCAGGCUAGAGAUUUCUGAGUUUGAAUGUUGUUACAGAGACCUCUAAUCUUCAUGAGGAAGCAAAAACUUCCACCAAAGAGGCCCUAAUUUUAACCACAGAAAAGUUAACUUGGUCCAAAUUGGUUCUUCAGACCCAGUCGAAGAGAAUGUACAAUCUACUGCAGCAUAUUGCUCACAUUGCUUUAUUAUUUUCUUUUUUCUUUUUAGGAUUGGACGCUCUCAAGAUCUUAAUUUUAAUCUAUUUUGCAUUUUACUUUUACUUAUUAACAAUGACUAUUUGUAUUAAAUUUACUUUUACUAUAAUAUUUUUCAUUGAAAAAAUCAUCAUAUUAA